GCCAGACUCCUACGGGAGGCAGCAGUAAGGGAUAUUGGUCAAUGGGGGAAACCCUGAACCAGCAACGCCGCGUGAGGGAAGACGGUUUUCGGAUUGUAAACCUCUGUCCUCUGUGAAGAUGAUGACGGUAGCAGAGGAGGAAGCUCCGGCUAACUACGUGCCAGCAGCCGCGGUAAUACGUAGGGGGCAAGCGUUAUCCGGAUUUACUGGGUGUAAAGGGAGCGCAGACGGCAGUGCAAGUCUGGAGUGAAAGCCCGGGGCCCAACCCCGGAACUGCUCUGGAAACUGUGCGGCUAGAGUACUGGAGGGGCAGGCGGAAUUCCUAGUGUAGCGGUGAAAUGCGUAGAUAUUAGGAGGAACACCAGUGGUGAAGGCGGCCUGCUGGACAGUAACUGACGUUGAGGCUCGAAAGCGUGGGGAGCAAACAGGAUUAGAUACCCCCGUACU
This 447-nucleotide ribosomal RNA is filed under the name uncultured bacterium. RNAcentral describes it as "partial 16S ribosomal RNA". It matches the Rfam family "Bacterial small subunit ribosomal RNA", at positions 330 to 794 of the family's 1533-position model. The record is from RNAcentral.